ACGCGAAAGUUCCGCAAGGAAUUAGUAGAGUGGCAAACGGGUGAGUAACACGUGGGUGACCUGCCUUCGAGUGGGGGAUAACGUCCCGAAAGGGACGCUAAUACCGCAUAAUAUUCUGCCUUUUAAGAGGUGGCAAUCAAAGCCGGGGAUCGCAAGACCUGGCGCUUGAAGAGGGGCCCGCGUCCGAUUAGCUAGUUGGCGGGGUAACGGCUCACCAAGGCGACGAUCGGUAGCCGGCCUAAGAGGGCGGACGGCCACACUGGGACUGAGACACGGCCCAGACUCCUACGGGAGGCAGCAGUGGGGAAUUGUUCGCAAUGGGCGCAAGCCUGACGACGCAACGCCGCGUGGAGGAUGAAGACCUUCGGGUCGUAAACUCCUUUCGAUCGAGACGAAUGGCCUUCGGGUUAAUAGCCCGGGGGAAUGACGGUACCGAGAGAAGAAGCCCCGGCUAACUCCGUGCCAGCAGCCGCGGUAAUACGGGGGGGGCAAGCGUUGUUCGGAAUUACUGGGCGUAAAGGGCUCGUAGGCGGCCAACUAAGUCAGACGUGAAAUCCCUCGGCUUAACCGGGGAACUGCGUCUGAUACUGGAUGGUUGAAUCCGGGAGAGGGAUGCGGAAUUCCAGGUGUAGCGGGUGAAAUGCGU
This 646-nucleotide ribosomal RNA is filed under the name uncultured bacterium. RNAcentral describes it as "bacterial SSU rRNA". It matches the Rfam family "Bacterial small subunit ribosomal RNA", at positions 66 to 691 of the family's 1533-position model. The record is from RNAcentral.